RNAcentral lists this small RNA (1571 nucleotides) under Arabidopsis thaliana (thale cress). Its description in RNAcentral is "ATSL084500". Lineage: Eukaryota; Viridiplantae; Streptophyta; Magnoliopsida; Brassicales; Brassicaceae. The record is from RNAcentral.
UAACUGAUAAUAAUUAAUGCCAAUGACAUUCCUUAUAAAUAUAUUUCAAUUUGAGGAUUUAUUUACUAAAAUGACUGAAAAAAUGUAUAUGUAGAUGGUCGAGAGACAAGAACUACCUAAAUUUACGCUUAAGAGUUAGAGUUUAUGAGAUGACAAAGAAAAAACAGUUAGAGUUUAUGAUGUUUCCUUUUAAGUCUUUUCCAAGCAAUCAAUACAACAAAAUCUGAAAAAUCUGAAAAUUUGAAUGAGAAAAGAUGUAAGGACACGUUUAAGUGCGCGAUAGAUAUUACAGGACGAAUUUUAAGGAUGUAAACUUUUGAGAGUCGUUUUUAACAAAAAUGAAAGAUUGUUUUUUAGUUUUGAGAUUUAUAAACUAAAAUGCAAGGAAACAAAAGACAAAAAGUUUACGGUGAUAACCAUUGGGUCAUUACGUAAUUGAGAGAUUAAUUAUAUAUAUGAAAAUCGUAUGGGUGACACAUCAUUACACAAAAAAUGACAUGUGUCAUUUAAUAUUGAUUGAAUUAAAAAUCAGCAAUCAUUAACACAUGCAUGAAUCUCCUGCUAGCCCAUAUCAAAAGAUUUCAAAAACUUUUUCACCUCAUACAGUGAUGAGUGUAGCACAUUAUCCUCUAAUAGCAUCUCCGGCAAUGUCUCUAGAAGAUCGUUGUGACUCUUGUCAGACCAGCCAUUUUUGGUCUUCAGUGUAAACAGAGACAUAAUCGCGGACAGCUUGCUAUGGUUAAAACAGCUUGGAUAUAGAGGUGUCUCAGCAUCUGCAAGCUUUGCAAGGAACUCGUCUUCUUUCUUGUCGUCACGCUCUACAAUCUCGCCCAAGUGAACCAUACCAGCAAACUCUUCGUCCAAAUACUCUGCAGCCUGAUACAACUCAACUACUUCAUCAUUCAACUGACUGAAUUUGCUUUCACUUUCACCACCAGACACCAAUUCUCCAUGAUGAUACCAAUCACAACGCAUCUUAUAAGCCUCAUCCAUUCCUCUUCUCACAAGAUGAUCAACAACUACACAACCUAAGUGACGAUCUAUGUUACGACAAUCAAUGCAAAGAUAUACAAUCAUAUCCGCAUCUCCCAAAACCGCAGCCACAUCCCGUACAAACUUGAUAGCCCGUCUCUCAUAAGCAUGAUCAUCUCUUUGUUGCAGAAGUAGAAGGAAAAAAAAAAAAAAACUCUCCAAAACCCUUACUAAAAACUAAGGAAUAUAAUUAUAAUUAUAUUCCUUACCUGCCAAGAUGCACCCAAUCCUUAGCCACUAUUCUAUGUGCUAACCGUAAUAUAAACCUUUAGUAACCUAAGCACCAUACCAUAUGGUGUAAAGAAAAGAAUCUUCUAAAUAAACAAUCACACAAUAAGUAGACAACAUUCACAAAUAAUUCAAACUUAUAUGUCUGAUUCAAUCAAAGCAAUUCAGGUUUUAAGUACAUACUACUCGAUUAUAGUAGCAGGGUUUAAACAAAUGUAACUCAAAAGAAUCUUCAAUAUAAACAAUCACAGAAUACAACAUUUACAAAUAACUCUAUGAAAACAAUUCCGUAGUUAAGUACAAUUACUAGA